UUCCAUUAUCUUUGUGAGGUUGUGGAGGUUGUAUAUGAUGCUUGUUCUGAGAGUGGAGGGGAAAAUGCUGCCCUUAUAUAGAUUGCAUGCAGCAUCUUCAGAGAAUGGUUAAGCUGACCAGUUGUUACAAAUGCAAUAAUAUAGCUUUCCUGUAGCUUAGUGGUAAGAGCAUUGCAUUAACAACGAAAGGUUGUGGGUUCAAUCUCAGGUGAUUGCACAUACCUAUGUAUAAAUGUAUAGGAUAAUGCAAUGUAAUAUACUACUCAAUAUACUGUCUCAUUUACUACUGAUUUGUUUUGAUUUUUGUAUAGGUACAUGAUGUGGGUCAGGGCGGUUUGGACAGAGCCAAAUGGAGAAGAUGAGGGAGUCAUCCCAGAGGUUUGGGUGAAGGACAACAUGGUACACUGGCCACCAGGGGCUAAUGUAACUAAAGCAGCUAAAGAGAUGCGAACACCAACAAGUAGCUGGAAAAUGUUUCCACUGCUGAAAAUCAAAUUCAAGUCAAAUAAUCAGGAAGUGUGUGAAGUCUUCGACCAAACAAGUACUGCAGAGCUCAGUGAGGAAGAAUGUGGUCCUGUAUCAAAGACAAAAAUAUACCCAGGGUUUAUUUUAGGUACAGAAUACUUGCUCAUUUUGACAGGGCCCUAGUUUUUGGUGCUGGAGCAUAAUAUAUGUUGUGAUACUAUGUAUGGUAAUUAUACUGUUGUUUCUCCUCUUACACAGAUGAGGAUGAGCAUGAAAGCAGGACGAAGCGAAUCGUUGGAUUUUUGGAAUAAAAAUAUUCAUAUUUCAAAAGUUACAAACACAAAUCAGCAGCUUCCGGUGACAGCGAGUCUACAUUGACCUCCAUUGUAGAAAAGGAAACUACAAUGCAAGUCAAUGUAGACUCACUGGAAGCUGGUGGACUUCUUCCAGCCAAUUAGAAUAGAGUAUUCAGAGAGACCAUGGCAUAAGUAAGGAAUAAUUGAUGACGAGCCAUUCAAUUAUACUCAUAUAAUGCACACUCGAGGUAAUGCUGCCACGACGCACAUCGAGUGUGCAUUUUAAGUAUAAUUGAACGGACAGGAGCCAAUUAUUUCUCUUAUACCAUGGUUGCCACACCACAAAACAUUGUUCAAGUGUUUAAUUUCAGAUUAUAAUAAAUGUUGCCCUGCGGUAGGAAAAUCUGACAGGGUAGGACAAUUUGAACACCGGUACAGCCUCCGCGAGCGUAAGAUUUUGCUUUGCCGAUGCAGCUCGUUUUUCUCUUGGUCUAUCUCUGUGGCAACCGGCAGAAAACAGCAGCACAUAUUCAACAAAACAGCGUUUCCUGAAUUCUGCCACUGUUACUGACUGCCUGGGCAUAUGAACAACAUAACGUUCACACUAAAGCCUACAUCGCAUGAUAAACAUUAAUUAAAGCUGCAAGCAGCGAUGAAAGGGCCCUCGCACCCGGGCUCACCACCAACCGGUGGCCAUAGGAGAUCAGCGAACGAUGGGCCAUAUGCUUAUAAAAAGGUAAAUAUUUGUGCCACAUUUCCUGCUGCCAACUGGUGGCGCUAUGAUUAUAACUGAAUAUCGGCAUGUAAAUGUCUUCAAGCCAGGACUCUUACCAAACAUGCAAAGUUUCGGGCAGAUCAGACAUUGCAUGUUUAAGUUAGUGUAAAAGAAGUAAUUUCCUGUUGCCAGCAGGUGGCGCUAAGACUAUAAACAAAUAUUGACCUAAAGAUGAGUUCAGGCCAGGACCCAUAUCAAACACAAGAACUUUGGGCAGACCAGAUAUUGCAUGUUUAUGUUAGUUUAAAACAAGUAAUUUCCUGUCAGCAGCAGGUGGCGGUAUGAUUAUAACUGAAAUAUUGGCCUUAAAAUCUGUUGAGACUAGGAAUCUUAUCAAACAUGUGAAGUUUAGGGCAGAUCAGACAUUUCAUGUUUAAGUUAGUUUAAAAUAAGCCAUUUCCUGUUGCCAGCAGGUGGCGCUAUAAUUAUAAUUGAAUAUUUGCCUUUAGAUGUGUUCAGGCCAGGACUCUUAUAAAACGUGUGAAAUUUGGGGCAGACUGGGCAUUGUAUGCAAGAGUUACAACAACUUCCUGUUUCAUAGUAUUAAUAGCAUCAUUUAGCACAUAGUAAGUGUUGCUAGCAUGUUUGAGAAUAUUUCUAGCAUGAUAAGCACACAAUGGCAUAUUUUACGGUUUUGCGAAUAGUGCAUAAAAGUAUUAAAACAUGUCACUUCCUGUUGUCAGUAGGUGGCACUAUAACUAUAACCAAAUAUGAGCAUGUAGAUAUCUUCAGGCCAGGACUCUAAUCAAACUUGUAAAGCUUGAGGCAGAUUGGACAUAGUGUGCACGAGUUACAGUAAUGUUCUACUUCACUGCAUUAAUAGCAUGCUUUAACACUGAGCUAAGUGUUGCUAGCAUGUUUAAGCAUGCUUCUACAAUUUUGCCAGCCUAUUUAACACAUGUUGAUGCUUUUUAUUAUUUUGCAAGGAGUCCAUAACAGUGUUAAACAUGCCACUUCCUGUUGCCAUCAGGUGGCGCUAUGACUAUAAUCAAAUACAGGCAUGUUGAUGUGUUCAGGACAGGACUCUUGUGAAAUGUGUGAAGUUUGGGGCAGAUUGGAUAUUGCUAGCCUGAGUUACAGCAACUUCCUUUUUCACUGCAUUAGUAGCAUGCUUUAGCACUUAGCUAAGUGCUACUAGCAUGUUUUAGUAUGUUUUUAACAUGUUGCCAGCCUAUUUAACACUUGUUGACACUUUUUAAUAUAUUCCUAGGAGUCCAUAACAGUUUUAACCAUGUCACUUCCUGUUGCCAGCAGGUGGCGCUAUGACUAUAACUGAAUUUGGUCAUGAGUGUUUGUUCAGGACAGAACACCUAUCACACAUGUGAAGUUUGGGGCAGAUCGGACAUUGCUUGCCUGAGUUACAGCAACUUCCUGUUUCACGGCGAAACAUCAAAUUUUGUCAGGCCGCCAGGGACACACCCCUUGACGAAAACUCAAAACCUUCGCAAUUUAACAUCACAAAGGUCUUAUGAUGACCCUCAUCAAAUUUGAAGACAAUCCGAUUAAAACUGUAGGAGGAGUUCGUCAAAGUACGAGGCAUGGAAAUGGCAAAAACUGCACAAAAAUCCUACAGGAAAUUCAAAAUAACUUACUUCCUGUUGGGUUUUGGAUUUUGUACCAAGAGACUUUUUUGUAGGUAAUGGUGUGUUACACAUAUGUACCGAUUUUCAUGCAUGUACGUGAAACAUAGCUCGAGGCGCACUCCGUUGAAAUUUAAUAGGUGGCGCUAUCGAGCCAUUUUGCCACACCCACUUCUGAAACCUAUAUCAGAUGUAAAUUUUCGCCAGUACUGAUGCGUGUGCAAAGUUUCGUGAGUUUUGGAGCAUGUUUAGGCCCUCAAAAAUGCGACUCAUUGCGGAGAAGAAGAAGAAGAAGAAGAAUAAUUAAAGCUGCAAGCAGCGAUGAACGGGCCCUCGCACCCGGGCUCACCGCCAGCGGGUGGCUUUUGUAAAACAGCGAACGGCAAGAUAUAUGCGUUUUAUGUGGUAAAUAUAAGAGAAAUAUGUCAAAGUCAUUUAUAUGUGCCAAUCUUCCAGCUGCCAGCUGGUGGCGCUAUGACUAUAACUGGAUUUCGACAUGUACAUUUCUUCAGUCCAGCACUUUUAUCAAGCAUAUGAAAUUUAGUGCAGAUUGAACAUGGAAUGUUUGAGGUUAGUAUAAGGCAUGAGGUGUCCUAUUGACAACAGGUGGCGCUAUGAUUAUAACUGAAUAAUGGCCUUUAGAUAUCUUCAGGCCAUGACUCUUUCCAAAUAUUUGAAGUUUGGUGCAGAUUGGACAUUGCAUGUUUAAGUUAGUGCAAAACAAGACAUUUCCUGUUGCCAGCAGGUGGCGCUAUGAUUAUAGUGGAAUAAUGACCUUCAGAUGUGUUCAGGCCAAGACUCUUUUCGAACAUGUGAAGUUUGGGGAAGAUCGGACAUCUUAUGCCUGAGUUACAACAACUUCUAUUCCCAUGGCGAGACAUCAAACUUUGUCACGGCGCCAUGGCCACACCCUUUAAUGAACCCUCAAGAUGUUCACAAUUUAACAUCGCAAAGGCCUUUAGAUUAGACUGACCAAAAAAAAUUAUAAAAUGUCAUAAAAUAUCUAGGAGUAGUUUGUUACGGCGUAAAACAUGUCACUUCCUGUUGCCAGCAGGUGGCGCUAUAGCGAUAUCUGAAUAUUGGCAUGUAGAUAUAUUCAGGUCAGGAGUCUUCUCAAACAUGUGAAGUUUGGGGCAGAUUGGACAUUGUAUGUCUGAGUUAUAGCAACUUCCUUUCUCAUGGCGAAACAUCGAAAUUUGUAAGGCCGCCACAGACACGCCCUUAAACGAAACCUCAAGAUCUUCG
Long non-coding RNA from Cyprinus carpio carpio, 4361 nucleotides. Lineage: Eukaryota; Metazoa; Chordata; Actinopteri; Cypriniformes; Cyprinidae. The record is from Ensembl.